UACUCAAUCCGGGUGCCCCAGUCUUAUCAAUCCAUCCUACGGUAGAGCAAAAAACUGCUUUAGACAAGUAGACAGAUGAUGACCUUAGGGUGAAGUGCUAUAUUCUGGCUUCCAUGUCAAACAAAUUAUAGAGCUAGCAUGAGCACAUGCCCGCUGCCUGUGCCAUGAUCACUCAUUUGUAAGAGUUGUACGAUGAGCAG
RNAcentral lists this long non-coding RNA (200 nucleotides) under Elaeis guineensis (African oil palm). Its description in RNAcentral is "long non-coding RNA (EGUI_LNC047676)". The record is from RNAcentral. Lineage: Eukaryota; Viridiplantae; Streptophyta; Magnoliopsida; Arecales; Arecaceae.